UGGGCUCCCUCGUCUGGUCGCCGCAAUCGGGUAUAGAAAAAGGGAAAAGGGGGAACAAGGCAACCGUGAGUACUCAUCCAAUGUACUCGCAAGCAAGGAGCUACACUACAUAUGCAUGGGUAUAUGUGUAAAGGGCCAUAUCAGUGGACUGAACUGCAGAAUGCCAGAAUAAGAGGGGGAUAGCUAAUCCUGUCGAAGACUACACUUCUGGCAGCCUCCGUCUUGCAGCAUGUAGAAGAGAGUAGACUGAAGUCCUCCAAGUAGCAUCGCAUAGCAUAAUCCUACCCGACGAUCCCCUCCUCGAUGCCCUGUUAGAGAGCGAUCACCGGGUUGUAUCUGGCACUUGAAAGGGUGUGUUUUAUUAAGUAUCCGGUUCUACUUGUCAUAAGGUCAAGGUACAACUCCAAGUCGUCCUGUUACCGAAGAUCACGGCUAUUCGAAUAGAUAAACUUCCCUACAGGGGUGCACCACAUUUCCCAACACGCUCGAUCCCAUUCAGCCGGACACACUUUCCUGGAUCAUGCCCGGCCUCGAAAGAUCAACACGUCGCAGCCCCACCUAGGCACAACAGAGAGGUCAGCACGCCGGUCUAAAUCCUAUGCACGCAGGGGUCUGGGCCCAUCGCCCAUUGCACACCUGCACGUUGCGUACGCGGCUGGAGAGCAGACCUAGCAACCUCCAUUACAAAGGAAGUCACGUUACACAGUUCAACCCGAUGCACGCCGCUCAGUCGCUGACGUCACGAAGGCUUUGGCUGAUACAACGAUGUCGAGUGCUCAUAUCUUUCCCGCGUAGUUGGUUAGUGCGUAUAGGCCAGUAGCCAGACUCAGAUCAAAUACCAAGAUCUCGUUAAGCGUGUUAAGUAUCCGCGAACGCCGACCAGGGCCAGGCCCACCUCUCUCCUAGGUGGUCUCAACCUGCCCUGUCGCUCCGCCACAAAGUAACAGUCGGGGGUCGUCGGGAACCCAGGCCCACCACUACCUGGGUGGAACCACCUGCCCCUUCAGCCCCCAUCUCCAAACAGCAUCACAGGUAAUGUAACAGUGUAAAGUAUAUAGUAUAUGCCCGUGAUCACCUCCCGAAGUGAUCACGGCCCAGUAGUAUAGUAUGGCAGACGGACAAGAGUGUAGGGCCACUGAUGGAACACUAGCGUCCUAUACUAAGCAGUAGGAUAGCAGGUAAAGGUAACAACAGUAGUAGCAAGGACAGGCUAUGCAGCAGUAUAGGAUUAACUGAAAGCAGUAACAUGCUAGACUACUCUAAUGCAAGCAGUAUAGAGAAGAAUAGGCGAUAUCUGGUGAUCAAGGGGGGGCUUGCCUGGUUGCUCUCGCAAGGAGGGGCCAUCUUCGAUGUAGUCGAACACACGAACAUCGGCAGCGGUCUCGGAGUCUACCGGAAAGAAGUAACGGAGGGGAACACAAUAAAUAACAGAGCAAUCAAAUGUAACACAAAGCAAGACGCGGCAAUACAUUGUGCUAAGGGUGACCUCACGCAGGGAUAGGUGAUACCGGCGAAAGGGGAAACAUCCGGGAAAGUAUCCCCGGUGUUUCGCGUUUUCGGACAAAUGAACCGGAGGGAAAAAGUUUCGUGUUUGUUAUGCUAGGGAUGUGUGGCGGACAAACGGGCUACACAUACGGAUUCGUCUUGUCGUUCUGAGCAACUUUCAUGUACAAAGUUUUUUCAUCCGAGCUACGGAUUAUUUUAUAAUAAUUUUCAAAGAUUUAAUCAUAUUAAGGAAUUAUCUUAAUUCAAGAAUAAAAGUGAAGUUGCUAAGUGUACACAACAAGUGUACACAUCCUGGUCAUUAGAGGCUGACAGUGGGCCCUGUUGACCAGGUCAACUGUUUACCAGCUGACUGGUCAACUAGGUAGGGGACCCGCAUGUCAGUUUCUGUUAGUGUUAUCUAAUUAGCCAAUUAGGUAAUUAGGGAUAAUUAAGGAGAAUUAACUUAGUUACUUAAUUAAUUAAUUUAAUUAUUAUUUUUAUUAUAUAUAUUUUUGUUUCCAGGGGCUGGGCCCCACGUGCAGUGGCACACAGGCCUAAGCGGGCGCUGGGCGCUGGGCGUGGGUGCGGGCGUGCGCCCGUGGGAGCGGACUCCGGCCAGGGGGAGGGCAUGGCCCCGGGCGGGGACGGCGGCCACAGCAUGCGGUGGCCGCGCUGGCAGGCAGUGGCGCACGCGGGCUAAGGCGAGAGGCGGCUGCGGCGCGCGAUGCGGAGCGGCGGCCAGCGCAGGGUCACCGAUGGGCGCGCGAUGGGGGCGCUGGAGAGCAGGGUGUGGCCCUGGACGACGGCGACCCUGGUGCACGGGGAUUGCGGCGCUAGGAUCUGGCGGCGGGGGGGCUAAGCAGCGGCGUGGCCAGCGCGGUGAGAAGCAGAGGUGGGGCGCGGCAGAAGCAGUAGCGAACAGCAGGAGGCGAGGCAGGCGCGCGGCGGCUGUAGCGGGGCAGUUGCAGAGCGCGACCGGAUGGCGUGGGUCGCGUGUGCAGGGGCGCCCAGGAGCUCGUGGGCGUGCGCUGGGGUGAGCCCGGAGAGGGGCGUGGUCAGGGCCAUGGGCGAGCACGCGCGGAGCGAGCUUCGGCCAUGGCGGCGCAGCGCGGGGACGGCCUCAACGGCGACAAAUCGAAGCAGGGAGAGAGGGGUUUGGGAAAUAAGCUCACAGCGGUGCUUGCAGGGACAAGCAGCGGGCUCGGUGGUGGCGAAUUGAAGAUGGCCGCCUGCGAUGCAGAAAGUUGGAGACGGGGUUCGGUCGCGUCGUCUUGGUGCUCCUUCGGAGGCGUUCGUCGGUGUAGUGGAAGAAGACCCUGAGGCGGACCUCGCAGGCACAGUGUGCGGGCAAUU
Molecule: long non-coding RNA, 2838 nt
Filed under: Triticum aestivum (bread wheat)
Lineage: Eukaryota; Viridiplantae; Streptophyta; Magnoliopsida; Poales; Poaceae
Description: long non-coding RNA (TAES_LNC010482)
Source: RNAcentral